This 273-nucleotide ribosomal RNA is filed under the name Triticum aestivum (bread wheat). RNAcentral describes it as "partial small subunit ribosomal RNA". The record is from RNAcentral. Lineage: Eukaryota; Viridiplantae; Streptophyta; Magnoliopsida; Poales; Poaceae.
AUGGUUCGUGUGUAUAUUUUACACAAACGUCAAAUCAAAGUUGAUGAUAAAGUAGCCAGAAGACAUGGUCACCCAUGUGUUGUUGCCACCACUUUUCCACAAUCCGAUAUGCCCUAUUUGUAAGAUGGUACACCCGUUGAUAUGGUGUUCAAUCCCUUAGGAGUACCCUCCCGAAUGAACGGGGAACAAAUAUAUGAAAGCUCACUUGGAUUAGCAGGGGAUAUGCUAAAGAAGCAUAACAUAAUAGCACAUGUCGCUCGUUCAGAUUCCUAA